GAUGAACGCUAGCGGCAGGCUUAACACAUGCAAGUCGAGGGCAGCAUAAACAUUGCUUGCAAUGUUUGAUGGCGACCGGCGCACGGGUGCGUAACGCGUAUGCAACCUACCCAUAACAGGGGGAUAACACUGAGAAAUUGGUACUAAUACCCCGUAAUAUCAGGAAAGGCAUCUUUUUUGGUUGAAAGUUCCGGCGGUUAUGGAUGGGCAUGCGUUGUAUUAGCUAGUUGGCGGGGUAACGGCCCACCAAGGCGACGAUGGAUAGGGGUUCUGAGAGGAAGGUCCCCCACACUGGAACUGAGACACGGUUCAGACUCCUACGGGAGGCAGCAGUGAGGAAUAUUGGUCAAUGGGCGUAAGCCUGAACCAGCCAAGUAGCGUGAAGGAUGACUGCCCUACGGGUUGUAAACUUCUUUUGUAUGGGAAUAAAGUUCAGUACGUGUACUGUUUGUAUGUACCAUACGAAUAAGCAUCGGCUAAUUCCGUG
Molecule: ribosomal RNA, 487 nt
Filed under: uncultured bacterium
Lineage: Bacteria
Description: bacterial SSU rRNA
Rfam family: Bacterial small subunit ribosomal RNA
Source: RNAcentral